RNAcentral lists this ribosomal RNA (332 nucleotides) under uncultured eukaryote. RNAcentral describes it as "partial 18S ribosomal RNA". It matches the Rfam family "Eukaryotic small subunit ribosomal RNA", at positions 592 to 976 of the family's 1831-position model. The record is from RNAcentral.
CAAUAGCGUAUAUUAAAGUUGUUGCAGUUAAAAAGCUCGUAGUUGAAUUUCGGGUCCCCGCGCUCGGCGCUUCAUUGUGCCGUCGUGGUGUCCCUCCUCGCCGUAAGGCGUCCUUUACUGUGAAAAAAUUAGAGUGUUCAAAGCAGGCAAUCGCUUGAAUACAUUAGCAUGGAAUAAUAAGAUAGGAUCUUGUCUAUUUUGUUGGUUGCGGACAACGAUAAUGAUUAAUAGGGAUAGUUGGGGGUGUCCGUAUUGAGCUGUCAGAGGUGAAAUUCUUGGAUUUGCUCAAGACGAACUACUGCGAAAGCAUUCACCAAGGAUGGUUUCAUUAA